GGCGAGAUAGCUCAGUUGGCUAGAGCAACUGGUUCAUACCCAGUAGGUCGAGGGUUCGAAUCCCCCUCUCGCUACCA
This 77-nucleotide transfer RNA is filed under the name Candidatus Faecisoma merdavium. RNAcentral describes it as "tRNA-Met". It matches the Rfam family "tRNA". From Rfam's summary of the family: Transfer RNA (tRNA) molecules are approximately 80 nucleotides in length. Their secondary structure includes four short double-helical elements and three loops (D, anti-codon, and T loops). Lineage: Bacteria; Bacillati; Mycoplasmatota. The record is from RNAcentral.